CAUCAUUUUCUCAUUUUAUCAUUUUAUCAUUUUAUCAUUUCCUCAUUUUAUCAUUUCAUUAUUUUAUUGGUUCAUGUUUUAUCAGCUCUAGAAAGUCCUAUUUUAUUGGCUAUUCCAUUGUGUGUGCAUUUGCACAUCUGUGUUUGUCAGCAAUGGACGCAACCACCACAACAAGUAUAUCUGAACACAUUAUUCAUUCAUUAGAAGGAGUGUCCACAAUCAUUUGGACGUAUAGUGUAUGUAUGUACAGUAUAUAUUGCAUGCUGGAUUGAUAUGUUCUGUAUCAUUUUAUUUAUUCAUUUUAAUUUUGGUUCUGGUUCUGUUUGUGAACCCAAGGGAAGCAGAGGAGUCCCCGGACACAACGGAAAGACCGGACCCAAAGGCCAACGAGGCCGAGCAGGUCAGCACGGACCUCCUGGUAUUCAUGGACUGCUGGGUUUGAGAGGCCCACCAGGAGAAGAGGGAGCAGAAGGAAAGCCUGGUACACAGGUUCCCAUUUCAUAAGUUAUCUCCACAUUUGAAUAUUGUUACAGCCACAUGCUCUUUACUACAUAC
This 555-nucleotide long non-coding RNA is filed under the name Astyanax mexicanus (Mexican tetra). RNAcentral describes it as "lncRNA (ENSAMXG00005016811.1)". Lineage: Eukaryota; Metazoa; Chordata; Actinopteri; Characiformes; Acestrorhamphidae. The record is from RNAcentral.